This 483-nucleotide ribosomal RNA is filed under the name uncultured bacterium. Its description in RNAcentral is "partial 16S ribosomal RNA". It matches the Rfam family "Bacterial small subunit ribosomal RNA", at positions 28 to 507 of the family's 1533-position model. The record is from RNAcentral.
GACGAACGCUGGCGGCGUGCUUAACACAUGCAAGUCGAACGCUGAAGCUCAGCUUUUGUUGGGUGGAUGAGUGGCGAACGGGUGAGUAACAAGUGAGUAACCUGCCUCCUUCUUUGGGAUAACGCCCGGAAACGGGUGCUAAUACUGGAUAUUCACUGGUCUUCGCAUGGGGGUUGGUGGAAAGGGUUUUUCGGGUGGGGGAUGGGCUCGCGGCCUAUCAGCUUGUUGGGGGGGUGAUGGCCUACCAAGGCUUUGACGGGUAGCCGGCCUGAGAGGGUGACCGGUAACAUUGGGACUGAGAUACGGCCCAGACUACUACGGGAGGCAGCAGUGGGGACUAAUGCACAAUGGGCGCAAGACUGAUGCAGCGACGAUGCGUGAGGGAUGGAGGCCUUCGGGUUGUGAAACUCUUUCGCUAAUGGUCAAGCCGCAACAAUGGUUGUGGUGAGGGUAGUGGGUAAAGAAGCGCCGGCUAACUACGUG